GGUAGAGCAGCAAUGCUUGAGAGUGGCGAACGGGUGAGUAAUAUAUCGGAACGUGCCCAGUCGUGGGGGAUAACGUAGAGAAAUUUACGCUAAUACCGCAUACGAUCUAAGGAUGAAAGCGGGGGAUUUCGCAAGGAGCCUCGCGCGAUUGGAGCGGCUGAUAUCAGAUUAGGUUGUUGGUGAGGUAAAAGCUCACCAAGCCGACGAUCUGUAGCUGGUUUGAGAGAACGACCAGCCACACUGGGACUGAGACACGGCCCAGACUCCUACGGGAGGCAGCAGUGGGGAAUUUUGGACAAUGGGCGAAAGCCUGAUCCAGCAAUGCCGCGUGCAGGAAGAAGGCCUUCGGGUUGUAAACUGCUUUUGUACGGAACGAAACGGUCUGCUCUAAUACGGUGGGCUAAUGACGGUACCGUAAGAAUAAGCACCGGCUAACUACGUGCCAGCAGCCGCGGUAAUACGUAGGGUGCGAGCGUUAAUCGGAAUUACUGGGCGUAAAGCGUGCGCAGGCGGUUAUAUAAGACAGUUGUGAAAUCCCCGGGCUCAACCUGGGAAUUGCAUCUGUGACUGUAUAGCUAGAGUACGGUAGAGGGGGAUGGAAUUCCGCGUGUAGCAGUGAAAUGCGUAGAUAUGCGGAGGAACACCGAUGGCGAAGGCAAUCCCCUGGACCUGUACUGACGCUCAUGCAC
RNAcentral lists this ribosomal RNA (689 nucleotides) under uncultured bacterium. RNAcentral's name for it is "bacterial SSU rRNA". It matches the Rfam family "Bacterial small subunit ribosomal RNA", at positions 68 to 754 of the family's 1533-position model. The record is from RNAcentral.